UAAAGGCGAAAUCACACAUGCACCGACACGAGUCUCGGGGUGCUAGCUGCUUAGUCAGUUUAGUCGAUACUUGGGGUGUGUGGAGGUUUAAC
This 92-nucleotide small RNA is filed under the name marine eukaryotic metagenome. RNAcentral's name for it is "t44 RNA". It matches the Rfam family "t44 RNA", at positions 15 to 95 of the family's 95-position model. Rfam says of the family: This family consists of a number of bacterial RNA genes of between 135 and 170 bases in length. The record is from RNAcentral.